CCUCUCAUGGCGUAGUGGUUAACGCGCCCCAACUAGAGAUCGGGGAGUCGUGAGUUCUAUUCUCACUGAGAAGA
RNAcentral lists this transfer RNA (74 nucleotides) under Aedes aegypti (yellow fever mosquito). It matches the Rfam family "tRNA". Rfam says of the family: Transfer RNA (tRNA) molecules are approximately 80 nucleotides in length. Their secondary structure includes four short double-helical elements and three loops (D, anti-codon, and T loops). Further hydrogen bonds mediate the characteristic L-shaped molecular structure. tRNAs have two regions of fundamental functional importance: the anti-codon, which is responsible for specific mRNA codon recognition, and the 3' end, to which the tRNAs corresponding amino acid is attached (by aminoacyl-tRNA synthetases). tRNAs cope with the degeneracy of the genetic code in two manners: having more than one tRNA (with a specific anti-codon) for a particular amino acid; and 'wobble' base-pairing, i.e. permitting non-standard base-pairing at the 3rd anti-codon position. The record is from Rfam by way of RNAcentral. Lineage: Eukaryota; Metazoa; Arthropoda; Insecta; Diptera; Culicidae.